CAUUUUUUGUGUUCCUUUAGUGCCCUACUUUUAGUGUUUUACUGAAUCUGAAAUGGUAUGCAUCCUCCGGCUCCUUCGGUGCCACACUUCUUCUACCCUUAUAACUGUUUUUUUGUCUACUUCUUGUCAUCAAGAGUGCAUGAUUUCUACCUCCGAAAGGAACAACCACUUCCCUUGCGUUCAGGGUCUGGUCUUUCCGAGAGGGCCUUUUUCUACAGGUAUUGGGGUCUUCCAAAGAUAAGAUUAACAGUGAAAACUGCAUUUCUGAAGAAAGCCCUUCAAUUGACAUACUACUUAAUGCCACCCCGUGGAUUCUUCCUCAUGGAAAUUUCAUCCAUGCACGUCUUUCUUUCUUUCACACGAAUAGCUUUAUCACCAUAGGACUUAUACAAGAUGCCCUGAGGUAAGCAUUCGCUCAGAAAGAAGACUUGCUAUAUGCUUAACAAGCGAAGACUACAAUUAUAUCAAGCUACUUCCAGUUGACUGACUUCCUUACUAUUCAAAGCAUCUAGAAAGAAAUGUAUGAAUAAAGAAAGAACGCAUACUCUUACGGCGUUACGACUGCUCCCGAUUGAGGGGGAAGAUGACAUGUAAGGGUAACCCUCGCGGAGCGUCCUAGAAGAAGAGGCUGAGAGAAGUGGCUAGAUUCGUUACAGAGGCCAAGCCGACCCGAUCCACCUAACUGCACCUUAGAGAUAGAGGGGUCACACUGGUAAUCAGCCGCCACUAACCGAAAGCGGACGAUUCUCUCUUCCGUAAGCUGCUUCCUUAAAUGCGGAGUCACCAUCAUCAAUGUAUUUCAGUUAUAGUAAUGACUCUUUCUAUCAAGAAGACGAAGAGAGGAGAUCGAAAUCGGAGGGAAGAAGAGAAGGGUUAGGUCAAUCAGUUGACUUGCCUAGCUUCUAAAAGCUAAGGACUAUGCUUCUAAUCUACUAAUCGGUAAGCAUUCCUCUUGUUAUCUAUCUUUCUCGGGAUUUUUGGCCUACAUUACUUUUUCCUUCCUAGCCGCCCAUUUCAAUCGUGCAACUUGCAUGAAACCCGUCCGCUUUGUAUGGAGAAGCAAAACUUUAAUUUGAGCAACAUCAAUAAAUGCCCUUUCAGGGUCAGCUAGACUCGUGUACCACACAAAGAUGUAGGAGGUGCGGCAGCUCUGUUCCAGUCUAUGACAGCACUACAGCUAACACAACUACGAGCUAAGGCACAGAAAUAGUA
Molecule: long non-coding RNA, 1212 nt
Filed under: Fragaria vesca (wild strawberry)
Lineage: Eukaryota; Viridiplantae; Streptophyta; Magnoliopsida; Rosales; Rosaceae
Description: long non-coding RNA (FVES_LNC004270)
Source: RNAcentral